RNAcentral lists this small nuclear RNA (212 nucleotides) under Saimiri boliviensis boliviensis (Bolivian squirrel monkey). RNAcentral's name for it is "7SK RNA (ENSSBOG00000005534.1)". It matches the Rfam family "7SK RNA", at positions 77 to 331 of the family's 331-position model. Rfam says of the family: 7SK was discovered as an abundant small nuclear RNA in the mid-70s but a possible function has only recently been suggested. The record is from Rfam by way of RNAcentral. Lineage: Eukaryota; Metazoa; Chordata; Mammalia; Primates; Cebidae.
AGGUGAGUGUCCUCUUCUUCCCUUACCACUCCAUUUGCUGUGCGCUCAGUUGAAGAGGACAAUCAUCCCUGAUAGAGGAGGAUCGGUCCUUGGUCAAGAGUAUAUGAGUAGCUGUCCUCCUCUGCUAGGACUUUUAGACAAGCUCUCAAGAAGCUAGGACUGUUACCAUAAAGUGAUUCUGACCUGCUCAUUUUCCUGGGAAUGAUUCCAGU